Molecule: long non-coding RNA, 2672 nt
Organism: Synchiropus splendidus (mandarinfish)
Lineage: Eukaryota; Metazoa; Chordata; Actinopteri; Syngnathiformes; Callionymidae
Exons: 6
Source: RefSeq, a predicted model, not a curated record
CGUCACUUGUGUUGACGACCUGUCCCGACGCCGCGGCUGCAGCUGGACACCGUUACGAGGAGUUUGAUUUCGGGGUUUGGUGGUGUUCGGAUGGUGAAGCGCUUCCUCAGCCUUCGUUUGGUUUGUAGAGACGAUGCGGUGCCUGGAGGAGCGAACCGCUUCGACACCACGGCCUCACGAUGGAAGAGUGUUCCGUGUUGGGUCAAUGACAGUGGACUCGCCUGAGCUAACAUGCCAACCCCAAACCCAACUACGUUUGAGAACAUUUCUUUCUGUUGAAGUCAGCUGCUACAUCGCCAUGGCAACCUUCCCUCGAUCCCUCCUCACGGACACUGUCGGAACCAGCUGCUAUUCUCAACGGAGUAAAAUAGAUGUUCAUGUUAAUUUCGCUUUGCGUUGGCAGUGUUGAGCGUCUCUGCCGUACUUGAUCAACUUUUCUAGCUCUUAUUUUAUCACGGAUGUUCUUUGACAGUAGUGGAUGGGAGGCGCGUUUGUGGGAAAACACUCAAUCCCUUGUCAAUACAUUUAAAUCACGGCGUUAUUUACAUGUUUCUGCAGUACAUCGAUUUGUCCACAAGGCGCCGCCACAGGGCGCAGUACAGUUGGUCUCCGUGACGGUGGAUGGAGCUCAUGAGCAGAGACACCUGCGGAGGCGCCGCCCGCCGAGGAACAAGCACCGCCCGCCCGGGAGAGCACGGACGGCCCCGCUCCAGAUGCGAGCGCUCCAGGUAUCCGAAAGGUCGAGGAGGACAUACACUGGAGAUCAAAAUUAGAGAACAAUCUACAGUUUACUAAAUUUUAAGGUCACUGCAUAAUCAUAUUUGAAAUUAUCCAACAGGAUUAAAAGAGCAAUAUUUUAAGUAUAUUUCAGGAGUUGACAUAUUAGAAGAAGAACACUGAGAACACUUCAGGAUACCUCCUAGUUAUUGGUGUUAAUCUGGCACCGGGUGCUAACCUCCUUGCUUACCUGACAACCCCUGUUUAACUGGCAAGAACUUCAACAACAUAUGGUUCCUUUCCUGCGCUCAUCAGCCACCAGUGUUUAUGCAGAACAACGCUCCCUGUGACACAGCAGGUGACAAAGUUAUGGCGAAGAAACCCACUGCAGUCACUGAACUGUGGAAAAGACUGCAAGAAGAGUGGACCAAAAUCACACCAGAGAUGGCCGCAGAUGUGCUGAAGUCAUUCAGAGCAAAGGUCUGUACACUUCCUAUUAAUUGCUGACUGUUGUAACAUUCAGGAAAAAAGAUGUUCAAAUGCCUUGGUUAUUUUGUAAAAAAAAAACAAAAAACUGUUUGACUUACAUGGUACAGUCAUAAUAAAAAAUAUUGAAACUGUUGAGUGUAGAUGAUAUCAUUCCAGAAAAAAACAGUUCUUUAUAAAUUGUUCUCUAAUUUUGAUCUCCAGUGUAUUUACAGAAUCAUCUCAGUAUAUUUGAGUGUUGUUGUUUGACAGUAGUGUUUAAUUCGCGUGGUAACUUCAGGGGCGACAUGGAUCCACACUCUUCCAUAGUUCAGCUCUUGACUUGGUUCAGCGCGCAUCACAGCGGAAACAAUAAUACCGCGCCACCUUGUGGCUAAAGAAAGUACCGCAGCCACCUAAUCCUGCCAUGGAAAUAAUCUUGGUAUAAAAUUCUCAACAGAUAAACACAAAGUUAUGUCACGAUGCCACAAUUCGGAAUUAAUUUAGGAAAACCCAAUAUAUUUUUAAAUUAUAUAUGAUUUUAAACUUAAUUAGAAAUAUGUAACUAACACUUAAGAAAGCUGGAAAUUGCGUUUGUAUUUCGCACUACCAUAUUUAAUUUUGUAUUAAGUCGAAUAUAUUGAACAAUAUGUCGCUGCUUCAGGAAGUAGUUUACGGGGAGAGGGGCGGGUGGUGACGUCACUUCCGUGUCUAUCAGGCGCACCUGUGGUCCCGUGAUAGCUGUUAGCUCGGCGAGACAGCGAGUUCUCGUCUCUUAUUUAUCAAAGUUCCUGAACAUGUGCGAGUUUAACAACUUCUAAUAAAGGUCAACGUCAUCGUAGAAGACAGAUGUCCCGCAUGGCUUCUUGAAGGUUGGGUGUCGAAGAAGAGCUUGGAGUCGCUCAUGUUGUGUGGCGCCAUGGAUUCCUUCUUUCCUCCGUGAUGGUGCCAUCUCCCUCAGAGCUUCAUGCAUCAGGCGGGUCAUGGCGAGGCUGUGGUGGAAGGUUUCCAACUGUGGUCCACCAGUGGGCCCCACUGUGUCUUCACCAAGCCUCAUCUCUUGGACCAGGUAUCAUGAAGCUCAGCGGUCGCCUGAGCUGUGACGCCUCACUCCUGCUGGUCCAGUCAGUGUUGUGUCUGACAGCAGCUCCUGAAGUCAGGUCACCGUGGAAGCUGACCACUUGUGGCCUCAGGUAUCGAGUACCAGGAGGGUGACUUCAGCCAGAUGCACCCAGGGAGUCACUGGUGAACCACAGAGCUCAUGCUGUGUGUAGAACAGUGGCAGGAUCCACUGAGCGUCAGUGGGACAGGAAGCAGAUCGACCAGAUGGGAGACACGUGUCCUGCAAGAGACAGAAUCAAUCAUCAGAGGCUUGAAGACCUGCAAAAUCAAGAUGUGAUUCAACUUGCAAAGAAACUCACCUGAAGCUGCAGAUCCUCACACUUGUGUCCAAUGAGCAAAUGUCUGUCAAUAAAAACAUGAUAAAACCA